RNAcentral lists this ribosomal RNA (433 nucleotides) under uncultured bacterium. Its description in RNAcentral is "partial 16S ribosomal RNA". It matches the Rfam family "Bacterial small subunit ribosomal RNA", at positions 29 to 507 of the family's 1533-position model. The record is from RNAcentral.
AACGAACGCUGGCGGCAUGCCUAACACAUGCAAGUCGAACGAGACCUUCGGGCUUAGUGGCGCACGGGUGCGUAACGCGUGGGAACCUGCCCUUAGGUUCGGAAUAACUCCCCGAAAGGGGCGCUAAUACCGGAUAAUGUUUUCGGACCAAAGAUUUAUCGCCUUUGGAUGGGCCUGCGUUGGAUUAGCUCGUUGGUAGGGUAAAAGCCUACCAAGGCGACGAUCCAUAGCUGGUCUGAGAGGAUGAUCAGCCACACUGGGACUGAGACACGGCCCAGACUCCUACGGGAGGCAGCAGUGGGGAAUAUUGGACAAUGGGCGAAAGCCUGAUCCAGCAAUGCCGCGUGAGUGAUGAAGGCCUGAGGGUUGUAAAGCUCUUUUACCCGGGAUGAUAAUGACAGUACCGGGAGAAUAAGCUCCGGCUAACUCCGUG